CGUGACUAUUGUACCUUGUUGCUUCGGCGGGCCCGCCAGCGUUGCUGGCCGCCGGGGGGCGACUCGCCCCCGGGCCCGUGCCCGCCGGAGACCCCAACAUGAACCCUGUUCUGAAAGCUUGCAGUCUGAGUGUGAUUCUUUGCAAUCAGUUAAAACUUUCAACAAUGGAUCUCUUGGUUCCGGCAUCGAUGAAGAACGCAGCGAAAUGCGAUAACUAAUGUGAAUUGCAGAAUUCAGUGAAUCAUCGAGUCUUUGAACGCACAUUGCGCCCCCUGGUAUUCCGGGGGGCAUGCCUGUCCGAGCGUCAUUGCUGCCCUCAAGCCCGGCUUGUGUGUUGGGCCCUCGUCCCCCGGCUCCCGGGAGACGGGCCCGAAAGGCAGCGGCGGCACCGCGUCCGGUCCUCGAGCGUAUGGGGCUUCGUCUUCCGCUCCGUAGGCCCGGCCGGCGCCCGCCGACGCAUUUGUUUGCAACUUGUUUUUUUCCAGGUUGACCUCGGAUCAGGUAGGGAUACCCGCUGAA
RNAcentral lists this ribosomal RNA (519 nucleotides) under uncultured Aspergillus. RNAcentral's name for it is "eukaryotic LSU rRNA". The stretch from base 154 to 307 matches the Rfam family "5.8S ribosomal RNA". Lineage: Eukaryota; Fungi; Ascomycota; Eurotiomycetes; Eurotiales; Aspergillaceae. The record is from RNAcentral.